GACGAACGCUGGCGGCGUGCUUAACACAUGCAAGUCGAGCGGUAAGGCCCUUCGGGUACGACGAGCGGCGAACGGGUGAGUAACACGUGGGUGACCUGCCUCUAGCUCUGGGAUAAGCCUGGGAAACGUGGGUCUAAUACCGGAUAUGACUCCAUGACGCAUGUUGUGGGGUGGAAAGCCUUGUGCGGCUAGGGAUGGGCCCGCGGCCUAUCAGCUUGUUGGUGGGGUGGAUGGCCUACCAAGGCGACGACGGGUAGCCGGCCUGAGAGGGCGACCGGCCACACUGGGACUGAGACACGGCCCAGACUCCUACGGGAGGCAGCAGUGGGGAAUCUUGCGCAAUGGGCGAAAGCCUGACGCAGCGACGCCGCGUGAGGGAUGACGGCCUGGU
This 391-nucleotide ribosomal RNA is filed under the name uncultured bacterium. RNAcentral describes it as "bacterial SSU rRNA". It matches the Rfam family "Bacterial small subunit ribosomal RNA", at positions 28 to 420 of the family's 1533-position model. The record is from RNAcentral.